AGUGAACGCUGGCGGUAGGCCUAACACAUGCAAGUCGAACGGCAGCACAGUAAGAGCUUGCUCUUACGGGUGGCGAGUGGCGGACGGGUGAGGAAUACAUCGGAAUCUACUUUUUCGUGGGGGAUAACGUAGGGAAACUUACGCUAAUACCGCAUACGACCUACGGGUGAAAGCAGGGGAUCUUCGGACCUUGCGCGAUUGAAUGAGCCGAUGUCGGAUUAGCUGGUUGGCGGGGUAAAGGCCCACCAAGGCGACGAUCCGUAGCUGGUCUGAGAGGAUGUGCAGCCACACUGGGACUGAGACACGGUCCAGACUCCUACGGGAGGCAGCAGUGGGGAAUAUUGGACAAUGGGCGCAAGCCUGAUCCAGCCAUACCGCGUGGGUGAAGAAGGCCUUCGGGUUGUAAAGCCCUUUUGUUGGGAAAGAAAAGCAGCAGGUUAAUACCCCGCUGUUCUGACGGUACCCAAAGAAUAAGCACCGGCUAACUUCGUG
RNAcentral lists this ribosomal RNA (492 nucleotides) under uncultured bacterium. RNAcentral describes it as "partial 16S ribosomal RNA". It matches the Rfam family "Bacterial small subunit ribosomal RNA", at positions 29 to 507 of the family's 1533-position model. The record is from RNAcentral.